This 801-nucleotide ribosomal RNA is filed under the name uncultured bacterium. RNAcentral's name for it is "bacterial SSU rRNA". It matches the Rfam family "Bacterial small subunit ribosomal RNA", at positions 81 to 901 of the family's 1533-position model. The record is from RNAcentral.
UAAUUGUCAGCUAAGUGGCGCACGGGUGAGUAAUGUAUAGAUAACCUGCCCUUAAGAAAGGAAUAACAGUUGGAAACGACUGCUAAUGCCCUAUAUGCCUUUAAUACAUAAGUAUGCAAGGGAAACGCUUUAGUGCUUAAGGAUGGGUCUGUAUGGUAUCAGCUUGUUGGUGAGGUAAUGGCUCACCAAGGCUAUGACGCCUAACUGGUUUGAGAGGAUGAUCAGUCACACUGGAACUGAGACACGGUCCAGACUCCUACGGGAGGCAGCAGUGGGGAAUAUUGCACAAUGGACGAAAGUCUGAUGCAGCAACGCCGCGUGGAGGAUGACACAUUUCGGUGCGUAAACUCCUUUUAUAUAGGAAGAUAAUGACGGUACUAUAUGAAUAAGCACCGGCUAACUCCGUGCCAGCAGCCGCGGUAAUACGGAGGGUGCAAGCGUUACUCGGAAUCACUGGGCGUAAAGAGCGUGUAGGCGGGUAUAUAAGUCAGAAGUGAAAUCCAAUAGCUCAACUAUUGAACUGCUUUUGAAACUGUAUACCUAGAAUGUGGGAGAGGUAGAUGGAAUUUCUGGUGUAGGGGUAAAAUCCGUAGAGAUCAGAAGGAAUACCGAUUGCGAAGGCGAUCUACUGGAACAUUAUUGACGCUGAGACGCGAAAGCGUGGGGAGCAAACAGGAUUAGAUACCCUGGUAGUCCACGCCCUAAACGAUGUACACUAGUUGUUGUGAGGCUCGACCUUGCAGUAAUGCAGUUAACACAUUAAGUGUACCGCCUGGGGAGUACGGUCGCAAGAUUAAAACU